This 301-nucleotide ribosomal RNA is filed under the name uncultured bacterium. RNAcentral describes it as "partial 16S ribosomal RNA". It matches the Rfam family "Bacterial small subunit ribosomal RNA", at positions 509 to 807 of the family's 1533-position model. The record is from RNAcentral.
CAGUCGCCGCGGUAAUACGUAGGGUGCAAGCGUUAAUCGGAAUUACUGAGCGUAAAGCGUGCGCAGGCGGUCCGCUAAGACAGAUGUGAAAUCCCCGGGCUCAACCUGGGAACUGCAUUUGUGACUGGCAAGCUAGAGUCUGGCAGAGGGGGGUGGAAUUCCGCGUGUAGCAGUGAAAUGCGUAGAUAUGCGGAGGAACACCGAUGGCGAAGGCAGCCCCCUGGGCCAACACUGACGCUCAUGCACGAAAGCGUGGGGAGCAAACAGGAUUAGAUACCCCCGUAGUCCCUGUCUCUUAUAC